UUAGAGUUUGAUCCUGGCUCAGAUUGAACGCUGGCGGCAUGCUUUACACAUGCAAGUCGAACGGCAGCGAGGAGAAGCUUGCUUCUCUGUCGGCGAGUGGCGAACGGGUGAGUAUAGCAUCGGAACGUGCCAAGUAGUGGGGGAUAACCAAACGAAAGUUUGGCUAAUACCGCGUAAGCUCCAAGGAGGAAAGUAGGGGACCUAAAUAAGGCCUUACGCUAUUUGAUCGGCCGAUGUCGGAUUAGUUAGUUGGUGGGGUAAUGGCUCACCAAGGCAAUGAUCCGUAGCGGGUCUGAGAGGACGAUCCGCCACACUGGGACUGAGACACGGCCCAGACUCCUACGGGAGGCAGCAGUGGGGAAUUUUGGACAAUGGGGGAAACCCUGAUCCAGCCAUGCCGCGUGUAUGAAGAAGGCCUUAGGGUUGUAAAGUACUUUUGUUAGGGAAGAAAAGCUAGUCUUUAAUAAAAAUUAGUGAUGACGGUACCUAAAGAAUAAGCACCGGCUAACUACGUGCCAGCAGCCGCGGUAAUACGUAGGGUGCAAGCGUUAAUCGGAAUUAUUGGGCGUAAAGCGAGUGCAGACGGUUACU
Molecule: ribosomal RNA, 591 nt
Filed under: uncultured bacterium
Lineage: Bacteria
Description: bacterial SSU rRNA
Rfam family: Bacterial small subunit ribosomal RNA
Source: RNAcentral